Molecule: long non-coding RNA, 2321 nt
Organism: Amaranthus tricolor (Joseph's coat)
Lineage: Eukaryota; Viridiplantae; Streptophyta; Magnoliopsida; Caryophyllales; Amaranthaceae
Exons: 2
Source: RefSeq, a predicted model, not a curated record
UUAGAUAGUGACUUUUACAUGUGGAUUCAAGAAAUUGAGGGAAGAUUUCAGAGGCUUGUGGGUAUGUUUUGUUUGAUUUGGGUUAAUUUGUUAUGUUAAUUUAAUUUGCGUGAUGAUAUUGUGGUUCAUCAUUUACUUUCGUUGAUGUACCUUAUUUUUUUUCUCUUGAAAAACAAAAUCUUGAUGAGGUUGUUCUUUAUUUUCUAAUUGCUAAAUUUACUGACGAAGAAAGCAAACAUCGGGAAAUUCGCCGUAAAUGUUAAUAGAUUACAAUUGUGUUAAUAUAUUACCUUAUAGCUUUUAUGAUGUUGAAAACUCACAAUUUACUGGGUUUUGAGUUGUACGCAUUAUUGAUGGUUGAAAGUAGAGCAAGUUGGCUUAAAUUUUAUGAAUUAGUAAAGAUAAAGAUAAAAUUUCUUUGAGUUUACAUUAUUUGAUUUAAUUUUUUAUUUUUAAUUCCUAACUUUAAACAUUGAUUAAUGACUGAUUUUGGAGGAAUUCGCCGCAAAUGUUUAGUUGGGUGCUUGGUAUUGAUUUAUGGGAAUUUACCUUGUUUUGGAUUUGAAUUUGGUUGAAACAGAUGACAGUUAGCAUUUGCAAUUACAAUGUGGUAGUAAUCCAUUAUUAUUGAUCUCAUCCAACGUAUUUCAUACUUCGUAUUUAGUCCAAUGUGUACACUUGGUGGGUCUAAGCAAUGGAAUAAGACACACUGGUUAUCCUCAAGAACAAUUAGUGUAGGUAAAGUUGGCUUAAACUUUAUGAAUGAGUAAAGAUAAAAAUAAACCAAGUAACUAGGUUUCCAUAAAGGUUUGUUUUGAUUUUGUAGUUGCUGCUUUGGUUAUGUUGAUUUAUUGUUGUUGUAUCAUUUAUACUAGGGCUUAAAUUUGAAUUCAGAUACUAGCAUUUGAAAGUUGUUAUUGCUUUUCUUCUUAGGUUUCUUUAACAGGUGCUGCAUGCUACAAAUUUACUACUACUACUACUACACUUCAGAAGUUUGGAAUUGACCAAACUACUUUUAUUCAUUUUGAGGUUUGUAAUAGAUACAUAUUCAACUCUUAAUUGGUAACUUGUGAAUAAUUGAAGCAUCAUAGGAAUUUAAAUAGUUUAUUGAAUGGUUUGAUUGUAGUCGUACUAUGGGAAAAAUUAAAAGGGGUCAUAUUACUCUUGACAACUUCUGGUUCUGUUCAUGUUAUGCCUUUUAAUAGCUUUUAUUAUGUUUUAAAGUUUACUGUGCAACUUUAGCUCAAGUAUUAGUUCCUUGUUUGGUUGAAGUGUUUCAUGAGUUUGACUUUUCUAGCUUAUGUGAGAAGGAUUAGUCUCUUGUUACAUAUUGUGGUCGUUAUCAUUAGAUUAACUGUAACUAUUAGUCUAUUUUUCCAUUUCUUUCUUAGCUUGCAAUGAUUUUACUUAGAACCUUGCAUUCUUUUCCAUUUAGAGUUCUUGUUAUGUUCUUACUUCUUCAAUUACACUUCCUUUGCCAUCUCUUCAAAGUCAUUUUUCAAAAUUAUUGGUGGGCGGGCUGCAUAGUGAGGAUGUCUGAGUUUCAUCUGUGAGUUAUUUGUGUAUAAUUAAAACUUUUAACACAUGUAAUUUUGCUUAUUUGUGGACUGAUGUGUUGUUUGUAUUUUUUUUAUUUACUAUAUAGCUCAAUUAAGAGAAUAUGACAAUAUUAUUAGAUAUUUUGAUGUGAUUUCUUAUAUUUAUUGUAGUUGUGGGUGUUGUCUCUUUCGUCUAAUGAUUUACUCUAAAAUAUAGUUUUUUUUAGUUUAGUGCACCGUAAUAUGAAGUUUGUGUCUUGAGGUACCAUUUGAGCAUCAUCGUGUUUGUCGGCUUUUGCUAAGUAAUCUAUUUGUGGUCAUGGCAUGCGGAGAGGGAGGAGCUGAGGAGGAGGCUACUACUGUAAAUUUUGGAUAGAGCCAUCUCAUUUUGAUCCAAGUAUACCACCCUUACAUACUGAUGUCAAUGAGAUACUGGAUCAUGAGCAUAACACCUUGGACCCUUUGACACCCAGAGCUGAAGCAACUGCAUUGUCAACAAGGAUACAUGGCCCAAACUACUCAGGAGCCAGAACACUACUCACCAUAGUAUAUCAAGGACAAGAAGAGGCAAAGAAUGACCAAUAGCCUAUUACAAAUGACUGGUGUAACAAGUAGUCAGUUAUCAAUGAGUAUUAGCUAUUCAGUAAUAGUUUAGCUCCUAGUUUUCUAAGUUUGUUAGGACCGUUUUAAAGAGUUUUUGAGGCGUGCCAUUAACUAUAAAAAGGCCCCUCCCUCUCACUUUGUAAACUUGGUUUUUGUUAAUAAAAUUUCAGAGGUAUUUUU